Molecule: ribosomal RNA, 668 nt
Filed under: Methanosarcina mazei
Lineage: Archaea; Methanobacteriati; Methanobacteriota; Methanomicrobia; Methanosarcinales; Methanosarcinaceae
Description: bacterial SSU rRNA
Rfam family: Archaeal small subunit ribosomal RNA
Source: RNAcentral
UUCCGGUUGAUCCUGCCGGAGGUUACUGCUAUCGGUGUUCGCCUAAGCCAUGCGAGUCAUAUGUAGCAAUACAUGGCGUACUGCUCAGUAACACGUGGAUAACCUGCCCUUGGGACCGGCAUAACCCCGGGAAACUGGGGAUAAUUCCGGAUAACGCAUAUUUGCUGGAAUGCUUUAUGCGUCAAAAGGAUUCGUCUGCCCAAGGAUGGGUCUGCGGCCUAUCAGGUAGUAGUGGGUGUAAUGUACCUACUAGCCAGCGACGGGUACGGGUUGUGAGAGCAAGAGCCCGGAGAUGGAUUCUGAGACAUGAAUCCAGGCCCUACGGGGCGCAGCAGGCGCGAAAACUUUACAAUGCGGGAAACCGUGAUAAGGGGACACCGAGUGCCAGCAUCAUAUGCUGGCCGUCCGGAUGUGUAAAAUACAUCCGUUAGCAAGGGCCGGGCAAGAACGGUGCCAGCCGCCGCGGUAACACCGGCGGCCGAGUGGUGAUCGUGAUUAUUGGGUCUAAAGGGUCCGUAGCGGUUGGUCAGUCCUCCGGGAAAUCUGAUAGCUCAACUAUUAGCUUCGGGGAUACUGCAGAUUGGAACGGGAGAGUAGAGUACUACAGGGUAGAGUGAAUCUGUAUCCUGUGGACACUUGCAAGGUUUUACAAACGGUCACGUAGGACA